UUAACUCUUUCAAAGCAUGAAACGUGACAUUUUGCCAUUUUUCGAAUUGUCUCUUUUUCUCAACACCUGACAGUCACCAAUCUGCCGAUGCGGUUGGAAAAAAAAAAGCCAUGAAAGUGACUGUCAACUCCUCAGUUUAGGAAGAGCAUGGGUGUUGUUAGGAAGACAAUUCAGCAGAGAUGGGAUGAUGCCACGCUGAUGCAACCACAGUUAGCAAAAAAAGGGAGUCUUUUUUUAAAGAAAAUCUUCAUCUUUACAAAUAUGAUGGGUGAUCUUUAUAAACCGAAUAUACAAAACUACGACUAUAUUACUGUUUAUAACAAUUGAAUAUCAAAGUGAUGUUUAAAGAGCAAAUAUCUGACAUCAAAACAACAGUAUUGCUAACGAGCCAACUAUUUAACACUGAAAAACGAGUUCAGACUCUAUGUUUAAUACAUUCAGCUAACAGCAUCCAGACACUGAAAAGACAAUUCACAAUUUUAAAAUAUAUAUCAGGGAUUCUUAAGCGUAAUAUGAAAGUUUAGCAAUAAAAAGUAAAAAAAAAAAGCCCCAAACAAAAGCAGGAAAAAACUUUUCUUUUCCCAUUAAAUAAACUGUUCAGUUAAUUACUUUAAUUUCCUCAGUGUCACUGAAUUAAGCUCUAAAGGGUUACCAUUGUCAAACUGGGGUUCUCCUCCUUUAAAUCUGAGUUACUGACAAUAAAACUGUUAAAAAUGAUACCACGUUUAAAAAAAUACAGCAAUCCAAGCGAGAUAGGGUCACUUGAGUCAUUAUUUGAAAAUAGUUACUUUUGUAAAACGUUCAGCAAUCAUGAAUCAUAAAUCAAGACAAAAUGAAGCUCAUAAGUGCACAAUAAGCAUUUAUUGUGUGAAUACCUCACAGGCAUUCGCAUUAUUGAGUUCCUGUUUCUCUUUAUUCUUUAUACUUUAUUCUAGUUGCCCCAUGAUUCUUCGCCGUGGAAGUACUUCCACAGUUUUUUAUCCGAUUUUCGCCAUUCAAACUUUAAAAAAUUCUGCUCUUUCUGCUAAUGCCCGCUCUGGCUUUU
This is a long non-coding RNA of Astatotilapia calliptera (eastern happy), 1045 nucleotides long. The record is from Ensembl. NCBI's taxonomy places the organism in Eukaryota, Metazoa, Chordata, Actinopteri, Cichliformes, Cichlidae.